UCCAGAGAAUUUAGCAGAGAUGCUUUAGUGCCUUCGGGAACUCUGAGACAGGUGCUGCAUGGCUGUCGUCAGCUCGUGUUGUGAAAUGUUGGGUUAAGUCCCGNAACGAGCGCAACCCUUUAUCCUUUGUUGCCAGCACGUAAUGGUGGGAACUCAAAGGAGACUGCCGGUGAUAAACCGGAGGAAGGUGGGGAUGACGUCAAGUCAUCAUGGCCCUUACGAGUAGGGCUACACACGUGCUACAAUGGCGCAUACAAAGAGAAGCGACCUCGCGAGAGCAAGCGGACCUCAUAAAGUGCGUCGUAGUCCGGAUUGGAGUCUGCAACUCGACUCCAUGAAGUCGGAAUCGCUAGUAAUCGUAAAUCAGAAUGUUACGGUGAAUACGUUCCCGGGCCUUGUACACACCGCCCGUCACACCAUGGGAGUGGGUUGCAAAAGAAGUAGAUAGCUUAACCUUCGGGAGGGCGUUUACCACUUUGUGAUUCAUGACUGGGGUGAAGUCGUAACAAGGUAGGCGUAGUGCU
This 524-nucleotide ribosomal RNA is filed under the name uncultured bacterium. RNAcentral describes it as "bacterial SSU rRNA". It matches the Rfam family "Bacterial small subunit ribosomal RNA", at positions 987 to 1509 of the family's 1533-position model. The record is from RNAcentral.